Molecule: ribosomal RNA, 492 nt
Filed under: uncultured bacterium
Lineage: Bacteria
Description: partial 16S ribosomal RNA
Rfam family: Bacterial small subunit ribosomal RNA
Source: RNAcentral
AGUGAACGUUGGCGGUAGGCCUAACACAUGCAAGUCGAACGGCAGCACAGUAAGAGCUUGCUCUUACGGGUGGCGAGUGGCGGACGGGUGAGGAAUACAUCGGAAUCUACUUUUUCGUGGGGGAUAACGUAGGGAAACUUACGCUAAUACCGCAUACGACCUACGGGUGAAAGCAGGGGAUCUUCGGACCUUGCGCGAUUGAAUGAGCCGAUGUCGGAUUAGCUAGUUGGCGGGGUAAAGGCCCACCAAGGCGACGAUCCGUAGCUGGUCUGAGAGGAUGAUCAGCCACACUGGAACUGAGACACGGUCCAGACUCCUACGGGAGGCAGCAGUGGGGCAUAUUGGACAAUGGGCGCAAGCCUGAUCCAGCCAUACCGCGUGGGUGAAGAAGGCCUUCGGGUUGUAAAGCCCUUUUGUUGGGAAAGAAAAGCAGCAGGUUAAUACCCCGCUGUUCUGACGGUACCCAAAGAAUAAGCACCGGCUAACUUCGUG